GUGCCUAUAGCUCAAGUGGUAGAGCGUUGCUCUAUAAAAGCAAAUGUUAUCGGUUCGAGUCCGAUUUGGUAUA
RNAcentral lists this transfer RNA (73 nucleotides) under Caudoviricetes sp. RNAcentral's name for it is "tRNA-Tyr". It matches the Rfam family "tRNA". From Rfam's summary of the family: Transfer RNA (tRNA) molecules are approximately 80 nucleotides in length. Their secondary structure includes four short double-helical elements and three loops (D, anti-codon, and T loops). The record is from RNAcentral. Lineage: Duplodnaviria; Heunggongvirae; Uroviricota; Caudoviricetes.